GGGCGUUAAGUUGCAGGGUAUAGACCCGAAACCCGGUGAUCUAGCCAUGGGCAGGUUGAAGGUUGGGUAACACUAACUGGAGGACCGAACCGACUAAUGUUGAAAAAUUAGCGGAUGACCUGUGGCUGGGGGUGAAAGGCCAAUCAAACCGGGAGAUAGCUGGUUCUCCCCGAAAGCUAUUUAGGUAGCGCCUCGUGAAUUCAUCUCCGGGGGUAGAGCACUGUUUCGGCUAGGGGGCCAUCCCGGCUUACCAACCCGAUGCAAACUGCGAAUACCGGAGAAUGUUAUCACGGGAGACACACGGCGGGUGCUAACGUCCGUCGUGAAGAGGGAAACAACCCAGACCGCCAGCUAAGGUCCCAAAGUCAUGGUUAAGUGGGAAACGAUGUGGGAAGGCCCAGACAGCCAGGAUGUUGGCUUAGAAGCAGCCAUCAUUUAAAGAAAGCGUAAUAGCUCACUGGUCGAGUCGGCCUGCGCGGAAGAUGUAACGGGGCUAAACCAUGCACCGAAGCUGCGGCAGCGACGCUGAUGUGUUGUUGGGUAGGGGAGCGUUCUGUAAGCCUGUGAAGGUGGCCUGUGAGGGUUGCUGGAGGUAUCAGAAGUGCGAAUGCUGACAUAAGUAACGAUAAAGCGGGUGAAAAGCCCGCUCGCCGGAAGACCAAGGGUUCCUGUCCAACGUUAAUCGGGGCAGGGUGAGUCGACCCCUAAGGCGAGGCCGAAAGGCGUAGUCGAUGGGAAACGGGUUAAUAUUCCCGUACUUGGUGUUACUGCGAAGGGGGGACGGAGAAGGCUAUGUUGGCCGGGCGACGGUUGUCCCGGUUUAAGCGUGUAGG
This 833-nucleotide ribosomal RNA is filed under the name Salmonella enterica subsp. enterica serovar Mbandaka. RNAcentral describes it as "partial 23S ribosomal RNA". It matches the Rfam family "Bacterial large subunit ribosomal RNA", at positions 690 to 1524 of the family's 2925-position model. Lineage: Bacteria; Pseudomonadati; Pseudomonadota; Gammaproteobacteria; Enterobacterales; Enterobacteriaceae. The record is from RNAcentral.